UUUAUUUUCCUUUGUGGGAUUUUGCAUAUCUACCUUCUUGGGGGCAUAAAUGAAUAUAGUGCAUCUCAAAUCUUUCUCUCUUUUCAAUUUAAUUAUUUUAUUCCCCCUCAUCUCUCUUAUCUCUCUGCACCGUCUUCUAUAUAAACCCAGGGCGAGUGAGACCUCUAGUAUUCAUAAGCAGCCAAACUAAUAUGUAUAGAUCUUCCUCUUGCAUCUCUUUUGUUACUUUCGAGUAGAAAAAAUAUCAAAUAUAUAUGGUUUCACAUAUACAUUUUUUGGUAUGUGGUUUUCAUAUAUACAAGUGGGUUAUAGUGAAACGCGUAUGUGACGGAAGUAGUGUGCAGCCAAGGAUGACUUGCCGAUUUAAAUGAUCUUUCUUUAUACUCUAUUAAGACAUUUUUAGUAUCAAAAUUCUUUGGUUCUUGAAAAAGUCAGGAAGAAAUUAUAAUUGAUAUAUAGUGUUCCUUAUUAUAUACAAUUAUAACCAAAAAGAAAAAAGUAACAUGAUCGGCAAGUUGUCCUUGGCUACACGUUACUUUGUGUCGCGCUUAGGUGUUAUGUGUGGUAAAGAUCACAAGAACUCAAACAAAGGAAGAAUGCAGAAACGAGGAAGCCUUAUAUCCGGCAGCUUCGAACUCUCUCGGGUGGAAAGAGACGGUCGCAUCGCAGGUGGAAGGCAACUAGCUAGGCUAAGGCGCUUCUCGUUAGUUAAUAAUAAGUUAUCACACCAAAGUAGAUAUUAUAACUAGGGUUACUGAAUAUAUACUUUUCUUGGAAAGUUUAUUUGUAAAAACUAUCAUACGGUAGUCCAAAAUUGUAAAUAAGUAAUAAAUUUUCACGUCUGAUAUAAAUAGAGAUUGUGAUA
This is a long non-coding RNA of Camelina sativa (false flax), 865 nucleotides long. RefSeq lists it as uncharacterized. The record is from RefSeq and is a predicted model, not a curated record. Lineage: Eukaryota; Viridiplantae; Streptophyta; Magnoliopsida; Brassicales; Brassicaceae.